CUGUUAAUUAAUUUCUUGAUUAAUAUGCGUGUUUGAGCUGUGCGGUUUCCAACAAACAGCUCGUUGCAUUGUUUGAUAUUAUUUGCUACUUGGUUAUCACGUCACCAACACGUUUUGUUUACUGUAUUGUAUUUAAUUAUUGGAUAACCAUUAACCAGUAACUAAAGACAGUAAACGUAAUUUUCAAUAUUGUUCGUUAAUUCUUCCGACAACCUGGUGGUCAGAAAAUACGUUCAGUUAUCAAUAAAUUUCAGUAAACAAUAUCGCCAAAACAAUUUGUUCAAUAAACAAGACUUUUUAAGAAACCCGUUUACUUAAUAACCGGGUUUCUCAAAACGGUAUCGCUAAAACACGCCAUAUGCAAAUAC
This is a non-coding RNA of Cinara cedri, 368 nucleotides long. Lineage: Eukaryota; Metazoa; Arthropoda; Insecta; Hemiptera; Aphididae. The record is from the annotation of a GenBank genome assembly.